GUUGUAUGGUUAAGUGACUAAGCGUACACGGUGGAUGCCUUGGCAGUCAGAGGCGAUGAAAGACGUAGUAACUUGCGAUAAGCCCAGAUUAGGUAGUAACAACCAUUUGAGUCUGGGAUUUCUGAAUGGGGAAACCCACUAGCAUAAGCUAGUAUCAUUAACUGAAUACAUAGGUUAAUGAGGCGAACCGGGGGAACUGAAACAUCUAAGUACCCCGAGGAAAAGAAAUCAACCGAGAUUCCGAAAGUAGCGGCGAGCGAAAUUGGACUAGCCCUUAAGCUUUACACGCGUUAGACGAACGGUCUGGAAAGUCCGACGAUACAGGGUGAUAGUCCCGUAGUUGACGACGUGUGUUCAGUGAAAUCGAGUAGGGCGGGACACGUGAUAUCCUGUCUGAAUAUGGGGGGACCAUCCUCCAAGGCUAAAUACUACUGACUGACCGAUAGUGAACCAGUACCGUGAGGGAAAGGCGAAAAGAACCCCUGUGAGGGGAGUGAAAUAGAACCUGAAACCGUGUACGUACAAGCAGUAGGAGCAGGCUUGUCCUGUGACUGCGUACCUUUUGUAUAAUGGGUCAGCGACUUAUAUUCAGUGGCAAGGUUAACCAUCUAGGGGAGCCGUAGGGAAACCGAGUCUUAACUGGGCGUUCAGUCUCUGGAUAUAGACCCGAAACCAGGUGAUCUAGCCAUGGGCAGGUUGAAGGUUGAGUAACAUCAACUGGAGGACCGAACCGACUAAUGUUGAAAAAUUAGCGGAUGACUUGUGGCUAGGGGUGAAAGGCCAAUCAAACCUGGAGAUAGCUGGUUCUCCCCGAAAGCUAUUUAGGUAGCGCCUCGGACGAAUACUACUGGGGGUAGAGCACUGUUAAGGCUAGGGGGUCAUCCCGACUUACCAACCCUUUGCAAACUCCGAAUACCAGUAAGUACUAUCCGGGAGACACACGGCGGGUGCUAACGUCCGUCGUGGAGAGGGAAACAACCCAGACCGCCAGCUAAGGUCCCAAAUUACUACUAAGUGGGAAACGAUGUGGGAAGGCUCAGACAGCCAGGAUGUUGGCUUAGAAGCAGCCAUCAUUUAAAGAAAGCGUAAUAGCUCACUGGUCGAGUCGGCCUGCGCGGAAGAUGUAACGGGGCUAAGUAGUAAACCGAAGCUGCGGCAAUGUGCUUUUGCACAUUGGGUAGGGGAGCGUUCUGUAAGCGGUUGAAGGUGUGUGGUAACGCAUGCUGGACGUAUCAGAAGUGCGAAUGCUGACAUGAGUAACGAUAAAGGGGGUGAAAAACCUCCUCGCCGGAAGACCAAGGGUUCCUGUCCAACGUUAAUCGGGGCAGGGUAAGUCGACCCCUAAGGCGAGGCCGAAAGGCGUAGUCGAUGGGAAACGGGUUAAUAUUCCCGUACUUCUUACAAUUGCGAUGGGGGGACGGAGAAGGCUAGGUGGGCCUGGCGACGGUUGUCCAGGUUCAAGUGCGUAGGCUUAAGAGUUAGGUAAAUCCGGCUCUUUUUAAGGCUGAGACACGACGUCGAGCACCUACGGGUGUGAAGUCAUUGAUGCCAUGCUUCCAGGAAAAGCCUCUAAGCUUCAGAUUGUAAGGAAUCGUACCCCAAACCGACACAGGUGGUCGGGUAGAGAAUACCAAGGCGCUUGAGAGAACUCGGGUGAAGGAACUAGGCAAAAUGGUACCGUAACUUCGGGAGAAGGUACGCUCUCGACGGUGAAGUCCCUCGCGGAUGGAGCUAUUGAGAGUCGCAGAUACCAGGUGGCUGCAACUGUUUAUUAAAAACACAGCACUGUGCAAAAUCGUAAGAUGACGUAUACGGUGUGACGCCUGCCCGGUGCCGGAAGGUUAAUUGAUGGGGUUAGACUUCGGUCGAAGCUCUUGAUCGAAGCCCCGGUAAACGGCGGCCGUAACUAUAACGGUCCUAAGGUAGCGAAAUUCCUUGUCGGGUAAGUUCCGACCUGCACGAAUGGCGUAAUGAUGGCCACGCUGUCUCCACCCGAGACUCAGUGAAAUUGAAAUCGCUGUGAAGAUGCAGUGUACCCGCGGCUAGACGGAAAGACCCCGUGAACCUUUACUACAGCUUGGCACUGAACAUUGACCCUACAUGUGUAGGAUAGGUGGGAGGCUUUGAAGCACGUACGCCAGUAUGUGUGGAGCCGUCCUUGAAAUACCACCCUUGUAGUGUUGAUGUUCUAACGUCGACCCCUAAUCGGGGUUGCGGACAGUGCCUGGUGGGUAGUUUGACUGGGGCGGUCUCCUCCCAAAGAGUAACGGAGGAGCACGAAGGUGGGCUAAUCACGGUUGGACAUCGUGAGGUUAGUGCAAUGGCAUAAGCCCGCUUGACUGCGAGAAUGACAAUUCGAGCAGGUGCGAAAGCAGGUCAUAGUGAUCCGGUGGUUCUGAAUGGAAGGGCCAUCGCUCAACGGAUAAAAGGUACUCCGGGGAUAACAGGCUGAUACCGCCCAAGAGUUCAUAUCGACGGCGGUGUUUGGCACCUCGAUGUCGGCUCAUCACAUCCUGGGGCUGAAGUCGGUCCCAAGGGUAUGGCUGUUCGCCAUUUAAAGUGGUACGCGAGCUGGGUUUAGAACGUCGUGAGACAGUUCGGUCCCUAUCUGCCGUGGGCGUUGGAAGAUUGAAGGGGGCUGCUCCUAGUACGAGAGGACCGGAGUGGACGAACCUCUGGUGUUCGGGUUGUGUCGCCAGACGCAUUGCCCGGUAGCUAAGUUCGGAAUCGAUAACCGCUGAAAGCAUCUAAGCGGGAAGCGAGCCCUGAGAUGAGUCUUCCCUGAUACUUUAAGUAUCCUAAAGGGUUGUCGGAGACUACGACGUUGAUAGGUCAGGUGUGUAAGUGCUGUGAGGCAUUGAGCUAACUGAUACUAAUUGCCCGUGAGGCUUAACCAUACAACACCCAAGGGGUUU
This 2915-nucleotide ribosomal RNA is filed under the name Vibrio parahaemolyticus. Its description in RNAcentral is "bacterial LSU rRNA". It matches the Rfam family "Bacterial large subunit ribosomal RNA". Lineage: Bacteria; Pseudomonadati; Pseudomonadota; Gammaproteobacteria; Vibrionales; Vibrionaceae. The record is from RNAcentral.